Molecule: long non-coding RNA, 661 nt
Organism: Pipra filicauda (Wire-tailed manakin)
Lineage: Eukaryota; Metazoa; Chordata; Aves; Passeriformes; Pipridae
Exons: 3
Source: RefSeq, a predicted model, not a curated record
UCCUCAUUCCAGAAGAAUAAUUGUUUUCAUCUUCCAGAAGCUAAGGAAUUGGCUUAUCUAGCCUUGAGUGUUCAGAGUGAGACUAAUUUCUUCAGACCCUGUUUUCCAAUGCUUCCCAGCUGGCAUUUCCAACACUUGUGUCAUGGAAGGUCUUCUACCUCCCACUCCUGACAUACCACUCCUACAUGGUUAAUCAAAUUUCAACAGUUCUUCACAGCCCAGUGGAAUCAUCACAGACCCGUUAUAUUUAGCUGAGUCAUGCUGCUUUGUAUUCAUGUUUUGAGCUAUGGAGGUGGCCACGUCAAUUACGUGGAUGCUGAGCAGCUGUGAGAUUGGAUGAAAGAGUUAUGAAAUUCUCUGGAGAAAGCAGGAGGCUCUUCAAGUAACACAAAGGCAGUGGUGAUCAAGAAGCAGGAAAAUGCCUAUGCUGGGAAGGGACUGGAGAAAUCGUUAUAUGUGCCAAAUCUGUCAAGACUGAUAAUUAGUAUUAGCAAUAAGUUAUGCAGUUAUCAUCAGAUCACAAUGAAAUAAUGACAGCAAGUUUAACAGGAUGUUUAUGUAGUUAAUCCUUUGGUUGAUGUAUUGUUUGUAAAGUACUACAAUGGUAAUGAAACUGUCAUGCCUCCAGUGAGGCCUCUUAAAUGAAAUAAAAACAAGCUGG